Molecule: ribosomal RNA, 492 nt
Filed under: uncultured bacterium
Lineage: Bacteria
Description: partial 16S ribosomal RNA
Rfam family: Bacterial small subunit ribosomal RNA
Source: RNAcentral
AGUGAACGCUGGCGGUAGGCCUAACACAUGCAAGUCGAACGACAGCACAGUAAGAGCUUGCUCUUACGGGUGGCGAGUGGCGGACGGGUGACGAAUGCAUCGGAAUCUACUUUUUCGUGGGGGAUAACGUAGGCAAACUUACGCUAAUACCGCAUACGACCUACCGGUGACAGCAGGGGAUCUUCGGACCUUGCGCGACUGAUACAGCCGAUGUCGGAUUAGCUAGUUGGCGGGGUAAAGGCCCACCACGGCAACGAUCCGUAGCUGGUCUGAGAGGAUGAUCAGCCACACUGGAACGGAGACACGGUCCAGCCUCCUACGGGAGGCAGCAGUGGGGAAUAUUGGACAAUGGGCGAAAGCCUGAUCCAGCCAUACCGGGGGGGUGAAGAAGGCCUUCGGGUUGUAAAGCCCUUUUGUUGGGAAAGAAAAGCAGCAGGUUAAUACCCCGCUGUUCUGACGGUACCCAAAGAAUAAGCCACGGCUAACUUCGUG